This 497-nucleotide ribosomal RNA is filed under the name uncultured bacterium. RNAcentral's name for it is "partial 16S ribosomal RNA". It matches the Rfam family "Bacterial small subunit ribosomal RNA", at positions 28 to 507 of the family's 1533-position model. The record is from RNAcentral.
GAUGAACGCUGGCGGCGUGCCUAAUACAUGCAAGUCGAGCGAACGGACGAGAAGCUUGCUUCUCUGAUGUUAGCGGCGGACGGGUGAGUAACACGUGGAUAACCUACCUAUAAGACUGGGAUAACUUCGGGAAACCGGAGCUAAUACCGGAUGAUAUUUUGAACCGCAUGGUUCAAAAGUGAAAGACGGUCUUGCUGUCACUUAUAGAUUGAUCCGCGCUGCAUUAGCUAGUUGGUAAGGUAACGGCUUACCAAGGCAACGAUGCAUAGCCGACCUGAGAGGGUGAUCGGCCACACUGGAACUGAGACACGGUCCAGACUCCUACGGAAGGCAGCAGUAGGGAAUCUUCCGCAAUGGGCGAAAGCCUGACGGAGCAACGCCGCGUGAGUGAUGAAGGUCUUCGGAUCGUAAAACUCUGUUAUUAGGGAAGAACAUAUGUGUAAGUAACUGUGCACAUCUUGACGGUACCUAAUCAGAAAGCCACGGAUAACUACGUG